AGCAGUCGCCGCGGUAAUACGUAGGGCGCAAGCGUUAUCCGGAAUUAUUGGGCGUAAAGAGCUAGUAGGCGGUUUGUCGCGUCUGCCGUGAAAGUCCGGGGCUCAACCCCGGAUCUGCGGUGGGUACGGGCAGACUAGAGUGAUGUAGGGGAGACUGGAAUUCCUGGUGUAGCGGUGAAAUGCGCAGAUAUCAGGAGGAACACCGAUGGCGAAGGCAGGUCUCUGGGCAUUAACUGACGCUGAGGAGCGAAAGCAUGGGGAGCGAACAGGAUUAGAUACCCCUGUAGUCCCUGUCUCUUAUAC
RNAcentral lists this ribosomal RNA (303 nucleotides) under uncultured bacterium. RNAcentral describes it as "partial 16S ribosomal RNA". It matches the Rfam family "Bacterial small subunit ribosomal RNA", at positions 507 to 807 of the family's 1533-position model. The record is from RNAcentral.